GGGGAAUAUUGCACAAUGGGGGAAACCCUGAUGCAGCAACGCCGCGUGAAGGAUGAAGGUUUUCGGAUUGUAAACUUCUUUAGUCAGGGACGAAUAAAUGACGGUACCUGAAGAAUAAGCCACGGCUAACUACGUGCCAGCAGCCGCGGUAAUACGUAGGUGGCGAGCGUUGUCCGGAAUUACUGGGUGUAAAGGGCGUGUAGGCGGGAAUGUAAGUCAGAUGUGAAAUCCCAGGGCUUAACCCUGGAGCUGCAUCUGAAACUAUGUUUCUUGAGUGCCGGAGAGGAUAGCGGAAUUCCUAGUGUAGCGGUGAAAUGCGUAGAUAUUAGGAGGAACACCAGUGGCGAAGGCGGCUAUCUGGACGGUAACUGACGCUGAGGCGCGAAAGCGUGGGGAGCAAAC
RNAcentral lists this ribosomal RNA (402 nucleotides) under uncultured bacterium. Its description in RNAcentral is "bacterial SSU rRNA". It matches the Rfam family "Bacterial small subunit ribosomal RNA", at positions 356 to 773 of the family's 1533-position model. The record is from RNAcentral.